UACGGGGGGGGCAAGCGUUGUUCGGAAUUACUGGGCGUAAAGGGCUCGUAGAUGGCCAACUAAGUCAGACGUGAAAUCCCUCGGCUUAACCGGGGAACUGCGUCUGAUACUGGAUGGCUUGAGUUUGGGAGAGGGAUGCGGAAUUCCAGGUGUAGCGGUGAAAUGCGUAGAGAUGUGGAGGAACACCAGUGGCGAAGGCGACUUACUGGACGAUUGUUGACGCUGAGGUGCGAAAGCGUGGGGAGCAAACAGG
RNAcentral lists this ribosomal RNA (253 nucleotides) under uncultured bacterium. RNAcentral describes it as "partial 16S ribosomal RNA". It matches the Rfam family "Bacterial small subunit ribosomal RNA", at positions 524 to 776 of the family's 1533-position model. The record is from RNAcentral.